ACAAUGAUGAUGUCACUGAUUCUACUGCUGGCCACCCUGGGGCUCCUUGUUCAGGGUUCAUCAGGACAAAUCAUCCUGACUCAGUCUCCUGGAUCUCAGUCUGUUGUUCCAGGACAGGCUGUCUCUCUCAAAUGUAAAACCAGUGCAAGUGUUACUAGUUCUGGUUACAGCUACCUCAGCUGGUACCUUCAGAAACCUGGAGAAGCUCCUAAACUCCUGAUUUAUCUAGCUACAACUCGUCAGUCUGGAGUUCCAGAUCGUUUUAGUGGAAGUGGAUCUGGGACUGACUUCACUCUGACCAUCAGUGGAGUUCAGGCUGAAGAUUCAGGAGUUUACUACUGUCAGCAGGGUUACAGCUCGUUCACACAGUGAUACAACGUCGUACAAAAACCUCCCUCAGCUGG
Molecule: non-coding RNA, 404 nt
Organism: Micropterus salmoides (largemouth bass)
Lineage: Eukaryota; Metazoa; Chordata; Actinopteri; Centrarchiformes; Centrarchidae
Source: the annotation of a RefSeq genome assembly